This 497-nucleotide ribosomal RNA is filed under the name uncultured bacterium. RNAcentral's name for it is "partial 16S ribosomal RNA". It matches the Rfam family "Bacterial small subunit ribosomal RNA", at positions 28 to 507 of the family's 1533-position model. The record is from RNAcentral.
GAUGAACGCUGGCGGCGUGCCUAAUACAUGCAAGUCGAGCGAACAGACGAGGAGCUUGCUCCUCUGACGUUAGCGGCGGACGGGUGAGUAACACGUGGAUAACCUACCUAUAAGACUGGGAUAACUUCGGGAAACCGGAGCUAAUACCGGAUAAUAUAUUGCACCGCAUGGUUCAAUAGCGAAAGACGGUUUUGCUGUCACUUAUAGAUGGAUCCGCGCCGCAUUAGCUAGUUGGUAAGGUAACGGCUUACCAAGGCAACGAUGCGUAGCCGACCUGAGAGGGUGGUCGGCCACCCGGGAACUGAGACACAGUCCAGACUCCUGCGGGAGGCGGCAGUAGGGAAUCUUCCGCAAUGGGCGAGAGCCUGACAGAGCAACGCCGCGUGAGUGAUGAAGGUCUUCGGAUCGUAAAGCUCUGUUAUUAGGGAAGAACAAAUGUGUAAGUAACUAUGCACGUAUUGACGGUACCUGAUCAGAAAGCCACGGCUAACUACGUG